UACGAAGGGUGCAAGCGUUACUCGGAAUUACUGGGCGUAAAGCGUGCGUAGGUGGUUUGUUAAGUCUGAUGUGAAAGCCCUGGGCUCAACCUGGGAAUUGCAUUGGAUACUGGCAGGCUAGAGUGCGGUAGAGGAUGGCGGAAUUCCCGGUGUAGCAGUGAAAUGCGUAGAGAUCGGGAGGAACAUCCGUGGCGAAGGCGGCCAUCUGGACCAGCACUGACACUGAGGCACGAAAGCGUGGGGAGCAAACAGG
RNAcentral lists this ribosomal RNA (253 nucleotides) under uncultured bacterium. Its description in RNAcentral is "partial 16S ribosomal RNA". It matches the Rfam family "Bacterial small subunit ribosomal RNA", at positions 524 to 776 of the family's 1533-position model. The record is from RNAcentral. RNAcentral also lists the same sequence under 1 other name.